GUGGGGAAUUUUGGACAAUGGGCGCAAGCCUGAUCCAGCCAUUCCGCGUGCAGGAUGAAGGCCUUCGGGUUGUAAACUGCUUUUGUACGGAACGAAAAGGUUCUCUCUAAUACAGGGGGCUGAUGACGGUACCGUAAGAAUAAGCACCGGCUAACUACGUGCCAGCAGCCGCGGUAAUACGUAGGGUGCAAGCGUUAAUCGGAAUUACUGGGCGUAAAGCGUGCGCAGGCGGUUAUGUAAGACAGAUGUGAAAUCCCCGGGCUCAACCUGGGAACUGCAUUUGUGACUGCAUAGCUAGAGUACGGUAGAGGGGGAUGGAAUUCCGCGUGUAGCAGUGAAAUGCGUAGAUAUGCGGAGGAACACCGAUGGCGAAGGCAAUCCCCUGGACCUGUACUGACGCUCAUGCACGAAAGCGUGGGGAGCAAACAGGAUUAGAAACCCGAGUAGUCC
This 450-nucleotide ribosomal RNA is filed under the name uncultured bacterium. Its description in RNAcentral is "partial 16S ribosomal RNA". It matches the Rfam family "Bacterial small subunit ribosomal RNA", at positions 354 to 796 of the family's 1533-position model. The record is from RNAcentral.